Molecule: non-coding RNA, 138 nt
Organism: Ornithorhynchus anatinus (platypus)
Lineage: Eukaryota; Metazoa; Chordata; Mammalia; Monotremata; Ornithorhynchidae
Source: Rfam
CCCCUCUCAGGGUCGCACCUGAGGAGUUUCCAGUACUCUACCGGUUUUGGCUACGGGAGGGAGAGUCAAGCAGAGGCCCAUCCAUUCCAUUCCUAGCUUGGACGGCGGCUAGCGAGCGGAAGGCAAUCCGCUACAAGU